UAUCACGCACGCUGAUGGUUUUUAUGAAUUUCUUGUUACAACCUUUCUCCACCCUCUUUUUGUAAAUUUCAUUGUUAACUCUCAAAAUCUUGAAUGGCUUUCAUGAAUUGUAAAGGGUGCUUUUCUUAACUACAUAAGCAAAUUGAUUUAUAAGAUUAAAAUCCGGUAUUAAACUUACCCAGUAAGGAUUUGAAUGCUUCCAAUAUCAAAAAAAUAAAAUUUUCCCCAUCACCAAACUAUCAUUUUCUGCAGUGUCAAAAGUUCUACAUUUACAACUUCAACAAAUAUUAGGAAUUUUAACAUAGCAUCCCAAUUCGCGUGCAUGUUACAACAAUAAUUCAGUAUCUAUCUAGAAUUCCAUCUUAUCAUAAAUUUUUACUCAUAAUCUCCACUUAACAAAUAGCAAGCAACAGACCAAUAUAGAUACUACAUAUUCACAAGCAUUGAUAAUAAAUCAAUCACAAUUCACAAAGG
RNAcentral lists this unclassified non-coding RNA (474 nucleotides) under Hevea brasiliensis (rubber tree). Lineage: Eukaryota; Viridiplantae; Streptophyta; Magnoliopsida; Malpighiales; Euphorbiaceae. The record is from RNAcentral.